This 433-nucleotide ribosomal RNA is filed under the name uncultured bacterium. RNAcentral's name for it is "partial 16S ribosomal RNA". It matches the Rfam family "Bacterial small subunit ribosomal RNA", at positions 29 to 507 of the family's 1533-position model. The record is from RNAcentral.
AGCGAACGCUGGCGGCAGGCUUAACACAUGCAAGUCGAGCGGGCACUACGGUGUCAGCGGCAGACGGGAGAGUAACACGUGGGAACGUACCCUGUGGUUCGGAAUAACGCUAGGAAACUAGCGCUAAUAGCGGAUACGCCCUGUUGGGGAAAGGCGUGCUGCCGAAGGAUCGGCCCGCGUCUGAUUAGCUAGUGGGUGGGGUAAUGGCCUACCAAGGCGACGAUCAGUAGCUGGUCUGAGAGGAUGAUCAGUCACACUGGGACUGAGACACGGCCCAGACUCAUACGGGAGGCAGCAGUGGGGAAGACUGGAGAAGGGGCGCAAGCCUGAUCCAGCCAUGCCGCGAGAGUGAUGAAGGCCUUAGGGUUGUAAAGCUCUUUUGUCCGGGACGAUCAUGACGGUACCGGAAGAAUAAGCCCCGGCUAACUUCGUG